This 82-nucleotide transfer RNA is filed under the name Thermogladius sp. RNAcentral describes it as "tRNA-Thr". It matches the Rfam family "tRNA". From Rfam's summary of the family: Transfer RNA (tRNA) molecules are approximately 80 nucleotides in length. Their secondary structure includes four short double-helical elements and three loops (D, anti-codon, and T loops). The record is from RNAcentral. Lineage: Archaea; Thermoproteati; Thermoproteota; Thermoprotei; Desulfurococcales; Desulfurococcaceae.
GCCGCCGUAGCUCAGCCGGGUGGAGCGCCGGCCUCGUAGUCGAGAAAGCCGGUGGACGCGGGUUCAAAUCCCGCCGGCGGCU